UAGGGGUGACAGGGUUCGGGUCCCCUCCCCAAACCCAGGGUAACUUUAACAAUAGAGGGGAA
Molecule: non-coding RNA, 62 nt
Organism: Erinaceus europaeus (western European hedgehog)
Lineage: Eukaryota; Metazoa; Chordata; Mammalia; Eulipotyphla; Erinaceidae
Source: Rfam